UUGUUCCUGAGUCAUGGGUGUUUUCUAUGUAUUUAAGUAUUUAUAUACACGUAUUUGUAUAUUAUAUAUAUAUCGUUGUCUAAGUACCCAAAACACAAGCCUUCUUGAGCUUACUGUGGGGCUUAGGCAAUUUGUGUAAGAAUGUCCUAUAAUAUUUAUUUAUUUAUUUAUAA
Molecule: long non-coding RNA, 173 nt
Organism: Cydia strobilella
Lineage: Eukaryota; Metazoa; Arthropoda; Insecta; Lepidoptera; Tortricidae
Exons: 2
Source: RefSeq, a predicted model, not a curated record